RNAcentral lists this ribosomal RNA (603 nucleotides) under uncultured fungus. Its description in RNAcentral is "eukaryotic LSU rRNA". It matches the Rfam family "Eukaryotic large subunit ribosomal RNA", at positions 23 to 641 of the family's 3401-position model. The record is from RNAcentral. Lineage: Eukaryota; Fungi.
ACCCGCUGAACUUAAGCAUAUCAAUAAGCGGAGGAAAAGAAACCAACAGGGAUUGCCCUAGUAACGGCGAGUGAAGCGGCAACAGCUCAAAUUUGAAAUCUGGCGUCUUUGGCGUCCGAGUUGUAAUUUGCAGAGGGCGCUUUGGCAUUGGCAGCGGUCCAAGUUCCUUGGAACAGGACGUCACAGAGGGUGAGAAUCCCGUACGUGGUCGCUAGCCUUUACCGUGUAAAGCCCCUUCGACGAGUCGAGUUGUUUGGGAAUGCAGCUCUAAAUGGGAGGUAAAUUUCUUCUAAAGCUAAAUACUGGCCAGAGACCGAUAGCGCACAAGUAGAGUGAUCGAAAGAUGAAAAGCACUUUGGAAAGAGAGUUAAAAAGCACGUGAAAUUGUUGAAAGGGAAGCGCUUGCAGCCAGACUUGCCUGUAGUUGCUCAUCCGGGUUUUUACCCGGUGCACUCUUCUAUAGGCAGGCCAGCAUCAGUUUGGGCGGUUGGAUAAAGGUCUCUGUCACGUACCUCUCUUCGGGGAGGCCUUAUAGGGGAGACGACAUACUACCAGCCUGGACUGAGGUCCGCGCAUCUGCUAGGAUGCUGGCGUAAUGGCUGU